This 71-nucleotide transfer RNA is filed under the name Fasciola gigantica. Its description in RNAcentral is "tRNA-Gln". The record is from RNAcentral. Lineage: Eukaryota; Metazoa; Platyhelminthes; Trematoda; Plagiorchiida; Fasciolidae.
GGUCCCAUGGCGUAGCGGUUAUCGCUCGGGACAUUGAAUCCAGCACCCAAGUGCGAAUAUCGGUGGGACCC